This 389-nucleotide ribosomal RNA is filed under the name Hydrovolzia placophora. Its description in RNAcentral is "partial large subunit ribosomal RNA". It matches the Rfam family "Bacterial large subunit ribosomal RNA", at positions 1953 to 2630 of the family's 2925-position model. The record is from RNAcentral. Lineage: Eukaryota; Metazoa; Arthropoda; Arachnida; Trombidiformes; Hydrovolziidae.
AAGGUAGCAAAAUCAUUUGCUUUUUAAUUAAAAGCUAGAAUGAAAGAAUUUUCAUACUUACUUUUUUAUAAAAGAGUUUUUUGAAUUUAACAUUUUCUUGAAAAUUAGAAAAAUCUUUUAAAAGACGAGAAGACCCCUAAAUCUUUACUUUUUAAGUUUAAUUGGGGCAAUUCUUUUAACAAUAAAAAGCUCCUUAUUCUUUGGACUAUGUUUAUAAAAAAGAUACUUAGGGGUUAACAGGAAAAUUUAAUAUUUUAGUUCUUAUAAAAUAAUAAGAUUUUUACCUCGAUGUUGGUUUGCUAAAUCUUUUUGAAGCAGAAAUUAAAAAAGAUAGUCUGUUCGACUAUUAAAUUAGCACAUGAACUGAGUUCAAGUCGGUGUAAGCCAGA